CAGUAGCCGCGGGAAUACGGAGGGUGCAAGCGUUAAUCGGAAUUACUGGGCGUAAAGCGCACGCAGGCGGUCUGACAAGUCAGAUGUGAAAUCCCCGGGCUUAACCUGGGAACUGCGUUUGAAACUGUCAGGCUGGAGUCUUGUAGAGGGGGGUGGAAUUCCAGGUGUAGCGGUGAAAUGCGUAGAGAUCUGGAGGAAUACCGGUGGCGAAGGCGGCCCCCUGGACAAAGACUGACGCUCAGGUGCGAAAGCGUGGGGAGCAAACAGGAUUAGAUACCCGUGUAGUCCCUGUCUCUUAUAA
This 301-nucleotide ribosomal RNA is filed under the name uncultured bacterium. Its description in RNAcentral is "partial 16S ribosomal RNA". It matches the Rfam family "Bacterial small subunit ribosomal RNA", at positions 509 to 809 of the family's 1533-position model. The record is from RNAcentral.